This 337-nucleotide unclassified non-coding RNA is filed under the name soil metagenome. Its description in RNAcentral is "partial contains 5.8S ribosomal RNA, internal transcribed spacer 2, and large subunit ribosomal RNA". The stretch from base 1 to 120 matches the Rfam family "5.8S ribosomal RNA", at positions 35 to 154 of the family's 154-position model. The record is from RNAcentral.
GAUGAAGAACGUAGCGAAAUGCGAUAAGUAGUGUGAAUUGCAGAAUUCAGUGAAUCAUCGAAUCUUUGAACGCACAUUGCGCCCCUUGGUAUUCCAUGGGGCAUGCCUGUUCGAGCGUCAUUUGUACCUUCAAGCUCUGCUUGGUGUUGGGUGUUUGUCUCGCCUCUGCGUGUAGACUCGCCUCAAAACAAUUGGCAGCCGGCCUAUUGAUUUCGGAGCGCAGUACAUCUCGCGCUUUGCACUCAUAACGACGACGUCCAAAAGUACAUUUUUACACUCUUGACCUCGGAUCAGGUAGGGAUACCCGCUGAACUUAAGCAUAUCAAUAAGCGGAGGA